RNAcentral lists this transfer RNA (69 nucleotides) under Ophiarachnella gorgonia. RNAcentral describes it as "tRNA-Trp". Lineage: Eukaryota; Metazoa; Echinodermata; Ophiuroidea; Amphilepidida; Ophiodermatidae. The record is from RNAcentral.
UAGGAUUUAGGUUAAACAAACCAGUUUCCUUCAAAGCAACAAAUAGAUUCUAAAGCAGUCUAAUCCUAA